CGUAGGGUACGAGCAUUAAUCGGAAUUAUUGGGCGUAAAGGGCGGCGUAGGCGGAAUUGUAAGUCAGAUGUGAAAUACCAAAGCUCAACUUUGGUGCUGCAUUUGAAACUACAAAUCUCGAGGACUGACGGAGAAAGCGGAAUUCCACGUGUAGCGGUGAAAUGCGUAGAUACGUGGAGGAACACCGGUGGCGAAAGCGGCUUUCUAGUUUUUACCUGACGCUGAGGCGCGAGAGCAAGGGGAGCAAACAGGAUUAGAUACCCUGGUAGUCCUUGUCGUAAACGAUGUGUACUUGAUGUAGCUGGGCUCAACCCUAGCUGUAUCGGAGCUAACGCGUUAAGUACACCGCCUGAGGAGUACGCUCGCAUGAUUA
This 373-nucleotide ribosomal RNA is filed under the name uncultured organism. Its description in RNAcentral is "bacterial SSU rRNA". It matches the Rfam family "Bacterial small subunit ribosomal RNA", at positions 526 to 896 of the family's 1533-position model. The record is from RNAcentral.